This 348-nucleotide ribosomal RNA is filed under the name uncultured Rhodoferax sp. Its description in RNAcentral is "bacterial SSU rRNA". It matches the Rfam family "Bacterial small subunit ribosomal RNA", at positions 1033 to 1382 of the family's 1533-position model. The record is from RNAcentral. Lineage: Bacteria; Pseudomonadati; Pseudomonadota; Betaproteobacteria; Burkholderiales; Comamonadaceae.
CACAGGUGCUGCAUGGCUGUCGUCAGCUCGUGUCGUGAGAUGUUGGGUUAAGUCCCGCAACGAGCGCAACCCUUGUCAUUAGUUGCUACAUUCAGUUGGGCACGUCUAAUGAGACUGCCGGUGACAAGCCGGAGGAAGGUGGGGAUGACGUCAAGUCCUCAUGGCCCUUAUAGGUGGGGCUACACACGUCAUACGAUGGCUGGUACAAAGGGUUGCCAACCCGCGAGGGGGAGCCAAUCCCAUAAAGCCAGUCGUAGUCCGGAUCGUAGUCUGCAACUCGACUACGUGAAGUCGGAAUCGCUAGUAAUCGUGGAUCAGAAUGUCACGGUGAAUACGUUCCCGGGUCUU